This 1207-nucleotide ribosomal RNA is filed under the name Staphylococcus aureus. RNAcentral describes it as "partial 23S ribosomal RNA". It matches the Rfam family "Bacterial large subunit ribosomal RNA", at positions 328 to 1541 of the family's 2925-position model. Lineage: Bacteria; Bacillati; Bacillota; Bacilli; Caryophanales; Staphylococcaceae. The record is from RNAcentral.
AUUAGACGAAUCAUCUGGAAAGAUGAAUCAAAGAAGGUAAUAAUCCUGUAGUCGAAAAUGUUGUCUCUCUUGAGUGGAUCCUGAGUACGACGGAGCACGUGAAAUUCCGUCGGAAUCUGGGAGGACCAUCUCCUAAGGCUAAAUACUCUCUAGUGACCGAUAGUGAACCAGUACCGUGAGGGAAAGGUGAAAAGCACCCCGGAAGGGGAGUGAAAUAGAACCUGAAACCGUGUGCUUACAAGUAGUCAGAGCCCGUUAAUGGGUGAUGGCGUGCCUUUUGUAGAAUGAACCGGCGAGUUACGAUUUGAUGCAAGGUUAAGCAGUAAAUGUGGAGCCGUAGCGAAAGCGAGUCUGAAUAGGGCGUUUAGUAUUUGGUCGUAGACCCGAAACCAGGUGAUCUACCCUUGGUCAGGUUGAAGUUCAGGUAACACUGAAUGGAGGACCGAACCGACUUACGUUGAAAAGUGAGCGGAUGAACUGAGGGUAGCGGAGAAAUUCCAAUCGAACCUGGAGAUAGCUGGUUCUCUCCGAAAUAGCUUUAGGGCUAGCCUCAAGUGAUGAUUAUUGGAGGUAGAGCACUGUUUGGACGAGGGGCCCCUCUCGGGUUACCGAAUUCAGACAAACUCCGAAUGCCAAUUAAUUUAACUUGGGAGUCAGAACAUGGGUGAUAAGGUCCGUGUUCGAAAGGGAAACAGCCCAGACCACCAGCUAAGGUCCCAAAAUAUAUGUUAAGUGGAAAAGGAUGUGGCGUUGCCCAGACAACUAGGAUGUUGGCUUAGAAGCAGCCAUCAUUUAAAGAGUGCGUAAUAGCUCACUAGUCGAGUGACACUGCGCCGAAAAUGUACCGGGGCUAAACAUAUUACCGAAGCUGUGGAUUGUCCUUUGGACAAUGGUAGGAGAGCGUUCUAAGGGCGUUGAAGCAUGAUCGUAAGGACAUGUGGAGCGCUUAGAAGUGAGAAUGCCGGUGUGAGUAGCGAAAGACGGGUGAGAAUCCCGUCCACCGAUUGACUAAGGUUUCCAGAGGAAGGCUCGUCCGCUCUGGGUUAGUCGGGUCCUAAGCUGAGGCCGACAGGCGUAGGCGAUGGAUAACAGGUUGAUAUUCCUGUACCACCUAUAAUCGUUUUAAUCGAUGGGGGGACGCAGUAGGAUAGGCGAAGCGUGCGAUUGGAUUGCACGUCUAAGCAGUAAGGCUGAGUAUUAGGCAAAU